ACCAAAUGCUGCCAAUGUGACGUCACUGGGAUGGUCGAAAGCUGAUUGGUCGCUGAGAUUCAGGCGAUGCUGUCAAUUCUGGCGCACCGGCGCAGUGUUUUCCAGCCGUUGCGUGUAUUGUUAUACGGAGUUUGAAUAUUGUUUAUUUGAUAAUAAUAUCACUUUUUAUGUGUUUGAAAAUCGGAAAAGCAUGCACAUAAAUGGCAUUCACACACUUGUCGUCUCAGAGAUCAUGAAGAAUGACCAGCUUCAGCAGUUCAGCUCAGGUCCGGGGCUGGUCCUCUGGCGUGCAGGACGGCGAGGAGUGGCUACCUGCACAUAACAACACAAUGACUGGCACCGAGCUGAGGGUAUAAAAUCACAUCAUAUCGACUUCAGCACCUGUCUCCCAGCUUUGGAGACGUCGCCCGACUCCCGAGUCCCUGAGUGGCGAGCGCCAGUUUCCGAAAGGAAGUUGAGGAAGGCAACCCGAAAGCACCCGCUGGGCUGCCGACACUCCUGCGCUGCCAGCAGGGCGUGCUGCGCAGUAAAGCCUCGCUGCGUGGUCUGUACGACAUCCGACACCGGCACCCAGACGUGCAGUUUCUGAUGACAUCCCACCUCAACCAGGGCUGCCCCGAGAAUCUGCUAGUGCUGACUGCCUGCCGCUGAGGCCGACCUGCCGGACCUGUCGCCGCCCUGGUGAGCCUGAGCCGCCCUGGGACCUGCCGCCGCGUCUACGCUGCCGCCCUGGUGAAACUGCCGUCGCCCUGCCGGACCUGUCGCCGCCCUGGUGAGCCUGCGGCCGCCCUGGACCUGCUGCCACCCCGGCGGACCUGCUGCCACCCCGGCGGACCUGCUGCCACCCCGGCGGACCUGCCGCCGCGUCUACGCUUCCGCCCUGGUGAAACUGCCGUCGCCCUGCUGGACCUGUCGCCGCCCUGGUGAGCCUGCGACCGCCCUGGGACCUGCUGCCACCCCAGCGGGCCUGCCGCCGCGUCUACGCUGCCGCCCUGGUGAAACAGGUCCGUCGUCGCCCUGCCGGACCUGUCGCCGCCCUGGUAAACCUGCUGCCGACCUGUCGCACUUGCCACCGCCCUGGUGAAUCUGCUGCCGACCUGCCUGACCUGUCGCUGCCGUGGUGAACCUGUUACCGACUUGCCGGACCUUUCUCGCCGCCUUGACGAGCUUGGGGAGCCUGUGCUGAGGUGCCACCGCUCUGUUUCACGUGUUAUGUUGCCCGGUUCCUGGCUGUCGCGGAGUCAAUCGGCACAUUGUGUUUGGAGAGGCGACAUCUUGUACAACUUUCCGACAGUUCGGAGCAUUUUAUUGUACCUACUCAAGUCGCAAGAGAUUAGGCUUGUGCCUUAUCUGUCCUCUUAUCAAUCUGUCCAAUAUGGUUUUUUAUAAUUACGAUUUAUGGUAUUGUAUGACAUAAACCGGUAUAUUGUGUA
Molecule: long non-coding RNA, 1433 nt
Filed under: Amphibalanus amphitrite
Lineage: Eukaryota; Metazoa; Arthropoda; Thecostraca; Balanomorpha; Balanidae
Description: uncharacterized LOC122389916
Source: RNAcentral